RNAcentral lists this long non-coding RNA (208 nucleotides) under Elaeis guineensis (African oil palm). Its description in RNAcentral is "long non-coding RNA (EGUI_LNC005100)". Lineage: Eukaryota; Viridiplantae; Streptophyta; Magnoliopsida; Arecales; Arecaceae. The record is from RNAcentral.
CGCUGUCAAGGUGAAGCUCGCUUGUUGACAAUAAUCGGCUUACUUUAUUCAGCCAGAGCUUCACUUUUUUUUUGUUUCUUCUUCUGACUUUUUCCAUUUGUUUGGCAUCGGUCAGAAGCAGCUUCAUCCGAGCGAAUAUACUGAAAUGCGUGCUCUAAAAGUUCAGCGUAAUUUCGGGAGAGACUUUUAUCUAGAGAAUAUGUAAAUC